AACUGUGUGUGCCUAUACAUAGCUUUUUCUGCUCAAUGAUUUUGUUAAAUAGCCGCAGUAUACUGACUGUGCAAAGGUAGCAUAAUCAAUUGACUUAUAAUUGAAGUCUAGAAUGAAGGAAAGUAUGGGGAGCAACUGUCUUAUGUAAAUUAAUAGAAAUUAUUUAUGAAGUGAAAAUCCUUCUUUUUAAAAUAAUAGACGAGAAGACCCUUGAAAUUUUUAUUAUAUUAGAGUAUUAUGUCUAGUAAUUUUUCGCUGGGGCGGCGGAGUAGCAUAUAACCUACUUACACAAACCUGCGCCUUAUAUGGCAAUUGACUAAAUUACUCUAGGGAUAACAGCAUAAUAUUAAAAAGUUUGUGACCUCGAUGUUGGACUAGGACAUAAUAACCUAAAAGGUUUUUUAUAUUGCUCUGUUCG
Molecule: ribosomal RNA, 418 nt
Filed under: Euhadra peliomphala
Lineage: Eukaryota; Metazoa; Mollusca; Gastropoda; Stylommatophora; Camaenidae
Description: partial 16S rRNA
Source: RNAcentral